RNAcentral lists this transfer RNA (83 nucleotides) under Gemmobacter aquatilis. RNAcentral's name for it is "tRNA_Leu_TAA". It matches the Rfam family "tRNA". Rfam says of the family: Transfer RNA (tRNA) molecules are approximately 80 nucleotides in length. Their secondary structure includes four short double-helical elements and three loops (D, anti-codon, and T loops). Lineage: Bacteria; Pseudomonadati; Pseudomonadota; Alphaproteobacteria; Rhodobacterales; Paracoccaceae. The record is from RNAcentral.
GCCGGGGUGGCGGAACGGUAGACGCAGCGGUCUUAAACACCGCGUCCUCUGGAGUGAGGGUUCGAGUCCCUUCCUCGGCACCA